AGCCCCGUAGUGUAGUGGUCAAUUGAAAAUCGGAGAUUUUCAAUUUGCUCAGAAAUCUCCGAUUUCCGACAAAUCAUCCCUGCUUUUGGAGCCGGGGACGGCAGUUCGAAUCUGCCCGGGGCUA
Molecule: transfer RNA, 124 nt
Filed under: Candidatus Woesearchaeota archaeon
Lineage: Archaea; Nanobdellati; Candidatus Woesearchaeota
Description: tRNA-Gln
Rfam family: tRNA
About the family: Transfer RNA (tRNA) molecules are approximately 80 nucleotides in length. Their secondary structure includes four short double-helical elements and three loops (D, anti-codon, and T loops).
Source: RNAcentral